RNAcentral lists this ribosomal RNA (471 nucleotides) under uncultured marine bacterium. RNAcentral describes it as "bacterial SSU rRNA". It matches the Rfam family "Bacterial small subunit ribosomal RNA", at positions 44 to 526 of the family's 1533-position model. The record is from RNAcentral.
GUGCUUAACACAUGCAAGUCGAACGGUGAACACGGAGCUUGCUCUGUGGGAUCAGUGGCGAACGGGUGAGUAACACGUGAGCAACCUGCCCCUGACUCUGGGAUAAGCGCUGGAAACGGCGUCUAAUACUGGAUAUGUGACGUGACCGCAUGGUCUGCGUCUGGAAAGAAUUUCGGUUGGGGAUGGGCUCGCGGCCUAUCAGCUUGUUGGUGAGGUAAUGGCUCACCAAGGCGUCGACGGGUAGCCGGCCUGAGAGGGUGACCGGCCACACUGGGACUGAGACACGGCCCAGACUCCUACGGGAGGCAGCAGUGGGGAAUAUUGCACAAUGGGCGCAAGCCUGAUGCAGCAACGCCGCGUGAGGGACGACGGCCUUCGGGUUGUAAACCUCUUUUAGCAGGGAAGAAGCGAAAGUGACGGUACCUGCAGAAAAAGCGCCGGCUAACUACGUGCCAGCAGCCGCGGUAAUAC